Molecule: ribosomal RNA, 494 nt
Filed under: uncultured bacterium
Lineage: Bacteria
Description: partial 16S ribosomal RNA
Rfam family: Bacterial small subunit ribosomal RNA
Source: RNAcentral
GACGAACGCUGGCGGCGUGCUUAACACAUGCAAGUCGAACGGUGAAGCGCCUUCCUUUUUGGUGGGUGUGGAUGAGUGGCGAACGGGUGAGUAACACGUGAGUAACCUGCCCCUUCCUUCUGGUUACCGCAUUGAAGUUUUGCCAAUUCCGGAUAUUCCGGGUCUUUUCGCUUAUUGGUCUUGGGAAGGUUUUGUUUCCGUUGGGGGUGGGCUCCCCGCCCUAUCAGCUUGUGGGGGGGGUGGUGGCCUACCAGGGCGGUGACGGGUAGCCGGCCUGAGAGGGUGGACGGUCACACGGGGACGGAGACACGGCCGAGACUCAUAAGGGAGGCAGAAGUGGGGAAUAUGGAACAAUGGGCGAAAGCCUGAUGCAGCGACGCGGCGUGAGGGAUGGAGGGCUUCGGGUUGUGAACCUCUUUCGCCAGUGAAGCAGGCCGGCCUCGUUUGUGGGGGGGUUGAAGGUAGCUGGAUAAGAAGCGCCGGCUAACUACGUG